Long non-coding RNA from Monomorium pharaonis (pharaoh ant), 2769 nucleotides. RefSeq lists it as uncharacterized. The transcript has 2 exons. NCBI's taxonomy places the organism in Eukaryota, Metazoa, Arthropoda, Insecta, Hymenoptera, Formicidae. The record is from RefSeq and is a predicted model, not a curated record.
CUCCGACGACAGACGGUUUCUUCCACUACGUAUAUGCUAUCGCGGAGGACGACGACAUCGGCGCGUUUUCGCGCUCGUCGGCGUUUCAGAAAACCGUGAGAGCGAGAGUUCGUUUGGCUAGUACUGUCUGCCCACCGCGGACAAACGUCGUUGAAUUUACGAUGCAGGACGAACAAUUCUGUGCUAGGACGUCAAGUGAUACGAUUGCACGCGAAAUAUUUAUCGAGUAUUCACAAUUAUAAGUACUGUAUCUGUCUCGGAGGAUAAUUAGAGCAAAAUUAUUUCCAAUAACAAUUAGAUAACAACAUGAUAAAAAUGUUAAGAAAAUAUUACAUUAUAUUUUUUCAACUUAUUAUUAUUUGUAAUAGCUAAAUCCAUAGGACGUAUUUGUCAUCACUUCUGUUAGACUGUUAUGGUAUAUCUUUCUGAAUUUAUUCGAAAAUAGGUAUUGCCUGCACGGUCAAGAGAUUAAUGCAUCCACGUAAAAGACUGUAUCUAUCGACUUAAUUGAAUCCAAACCGCGCAUGCAAACCCGCCCACCACAUGGUGAUAAAUGGCGUCGAAGUGUCUUUUCUCCUUUCCUCCUCUCAUUCUCUUUCUCUAUCUGGCCACAGUUCAUCCUGACAUGGGAGACUUUUACUCCGAAUGAGCAAAAAGCCGAGCCUUCGUAUACUCGCCCCUGGAGACGCUCGUUACACGCGUACGAACACCCGGUAACAAUGUGCGAAGCAUUCGCUCUCCUGAAUUCGUCGGCGCUGUUUUUCUUCGACGUCGAGCUAUGAGCACCCGAGCCGAUCUUCCCCCGAGGACUUACGCGCGCGUUAAACGUACGCCCUAUCGACCGUGCACCAUCUCGCAGGCAGAAACUUCGUGAUAUCAUCGAAACGCUUUUAAAGAAAACUGCCAUUGGCACGGAACGAGAUUCCCGCAGCGAGGCAGAAGGACGACACGGUGAUAGAAGAGCACGGCGAAUGAAGAAAAAGAUCAGGUCAUCUUUGAUACUCUUUUUCUUUCUCUCUUAUCCAAGGGCGUAUAUCUCAUGACUGUUAAACAACCGCUGCGACUAAAUAAUACCAUGACGGGAGAGUAGGAACGCGUUGGUUCAUGAUGUUAAUGAAAAUGUAUCGAGAAAGUCAUGGACCGACUGACCUCUUAAGAAAGGUUUACUCAGCAUCGGCUCUUCUAUCAAGUGCGAUCCUUGAAGGUGCGAUUCAGCCUCUGCGCUUUACCUCCCGUCCUUGGACUUUUCUUCUUCUUCUUCAAUGCCUCCUCCUACUCUCCUUUUCCUUUCCUGAUCCGACCUUUCGUUCUCUCAUCUCUGGUAUUAUAGAGGCUUCAGAUAUAUCCUGGGCCCCUGAAGGUGGCUCGCUCGCUCUCGGUGCUUCAGCGAACGACCGUACCGAGGCAUAGCCACCAUAUCUACCAUCUGGCAUAAAUCAACUCAAUGCUCGACUCUUAGAAGCUUCACUCUCCCUUAAGCCCAUAUUGCUUACCUUCCUUUGCUUUCCUAUUCUUUUUCCUCCCGCCCGACGUGUUCGAGGGGAAGCAGCUAUCCGGCCGAUCUACCAAUUAUUAAUUCAACUCGCCUUUCUACCCUCCGUAUACACUGGACACCCUGAAUCCUCCUCGCCAUCUUCUUUGACGACCUCGCGCGGGCUUCGUAUAGCUCUUACAGUUGCGACUCCGCGAUUCCAUGCAACUUUAGAGUUCGAUGCGUUAUCGGCGGAUCAAUCGUAUCCGCGAUGAUAGGCUACUAUUCGCUUUAUAAAUAAGAAAAUCGCAAAUCUACUAAAAAGCCGACAAUUUGAUUUGUUCAAAGAAAAGCCGACAAAAUUCAAGACAGAAGAGGGGAAGGGCCUGGAUGGAGAGAAGCAGAGAAUGAGAGAGUCACGGUGUUUGCUCGCUGGCGGGUUCCUCUCACUACCCGGUUGCAAAGAUUCUACGGAAGAGAUCAGGACAACGGGUGUAACAAAGGAUUCGAUUAUAUACACUUCGCUGACGGGAGCAAAAGGGACAGAAGGGAUAAAGAGGAGCAGGUAAAUGUAGCAUUGGCGUAUAUACACACGUAAAUAUAUAUGCGCGCCAAACAUAUAUGCGUACGUCCGGCUGUUAUCGUCCAAUCGCGGCGAAAAACUAGAUCCGUCGUGAACUUGAAAGGUGAUAAAUCUAACGAGCUGUGUGAGCAGGACUCUCGACGCUAACUGGUAUGAUUCACGAUCAGGCGCGAGUAUCUCUCUCUCUCUCUCUCUCUCUCCUCGUGAGCAUGUAGCACGUUCGGAUACAACAGAAUCUUUACUGAUAUUCAUAGGGUCCUCUUUCUCUUGUCCACGAAGAAAGCGACCGGAGAUCAUCCAGAAUGUUGCGAAGGACGCCACCACCAAUUAGUUCGGAUAUAUCUACCUGCCAUCCGCUGUCCAAUCUGUUGCGAACGUGUAGCCUGCUAUCGCGGAUCAAGUUACUUCUUAGCGUAAUUGCGUGAAACUACGGUUUGCAGGAUUUCGUGGUAUAGCGCGCAUCUUUCAGCCUCGGCAGACCAACGAAAUUUGAUAAUGGAUCGCGAUAAGGGACUUGCGUGAGAGGAAACUUAAAGAUUCCUCGGCCUCGGUCAACAAUGUUCACAUUGAAUCUACAGGUGCUCUGAAAAAUAUUCAAAAUGUUCGUUGCUCUUCUUGGCGCGGGUGACUAUCAUUUCUGAUAAUAAAUUAUCAAGUUUGUAAUCAGCAAGGACUCUGUUGCAUCCGGAUGCGCUGCUUAUGCUCAGUUCGCAAA